AUUGAACGCUGGCGGCAUGCUUUACACAUGCAAGUCGAACGGCAGCGCGGGCUUCGGCCUGGCGGCGAGUGGCGAACGGGUGAGUAAUACAUCGGAACGUGCCCAGUAGUGGGGGAUAGCUCGGCGAAAGCCGGGUUAAUACCGCAUACGACCUGCGGGUGAAAGCGGGGGGUCUUCGGACCUCGCGCGCUUGGGGCGGCCGAUGGCGGAUUAGCGAGUUGGUGGGGUAAAGGCCUACCAAGGCGACGAUGUGUAGCUGGUCUGAGAGGAAGACCAGCCACACUGGGACUGAGCCACGGCCCAGACUCCUACGGGAGGCAGCAGUGGGGAAUUUUGGACAAUGGGCGAAAGCCUGACCCAGCAAUGCCGCGUGUGUGAUGAAGGCCUUCGGGUUGUAAAGAACUUUUGGCGGGAACGAAAAGGACUGUGCCAAUACCACGGUUCGAUGACGGUACCCGCAGAAUAAGCACCGGCUAACUACGUG
This 484-nucleotide ribosomal RNA is filed under the name uncultured bacterium. Its description in RNAcentral is "partial 16S ribosomal RNA". It matches the Rfam family "Bacterial small subunit ribosomal RNA", at positions 28 to 507 of the family's 1533-position model. The record is from RNAcentral.